UAAUAUUAAUCAGAAUUGUGUUACUUGUUCGUUAAAUAAAAUGAAAAAAUUCCCUUUUAAAAAUAAGGAGACUUUAAAUGUUAUUCAUAUGGAUGUUUGGGGACCAACUCCAAUUGCAUCUUCUUAUAGAUAUAAAUACUAUUUACUCAUAAUAGAUAAGUAUUCUAGGUUCUCAUGGUUUUAUCUUUUGAAAUCAAAGGAUGAGGUUUUCAGUGUUUUUAGAGAUUUUCAUGUUAUAAUUGAAAAAUCGUUAGAUUCUUCAAUAAAAACUAUUCAAACUGAUGGUGGAGGAAAAUUUCAGAAUUCUUUUUUUCUGUCUUACUAUAAAGUAUAUGAAAUUUAGCAUAGAUUUUCCUCUCCUUACACACCCGAACAAAAUGGGUUAGUGGAGAGGAAACAUGGUCAUAUUAUUUCUGUUUUUACAUGUUUUUUUAUCAAUCAAAAAUAUCUAAGGUCUAUUGGCCAGAAACUUGUUCUACGGCUGUCUACACUAUUAACAGACUUCCUUCAAAGAAUUUGGGAUUUUCUUCGCCUUAUUCCAUCCUAUACAAUAAAGAGUCAGACAUUAACUAUUUUAAAGUUUUUAGGUCACUGUGUUUUCCUCUUAUACCUAAACAAAUAAGGAAUAAAUUUGAACUCACCUCUUUCUAUUGUUAUUUCUUGGGUUAUUCACCCUCUCAUAAAGCCUAUAAAUGUUUGAGACUUAAGACUCCAAAAUCAUUAUUUCUACGCAUGUUAAAUUUUAUGAGGAAAUUUAUCUUUUUAAAGAUUAUAAAUUAAAAACACCUUCGUUAAAAACAAAUUUCUCCACAACCUUACCACUGUCACAGAUAAUUAGUACUACGUCUGUGGUACUACCAAACUUAUCAAGAAGAAGUUAAUAAUAAUAAACCAGAAACAUCAGAUAACCAAAUAAGAAGUUUAGAUCUAACAACUUCAACAGAUAACUCGAUCUUCAUCACAGAGGAAUGAGACUGAAGAUGUGGUUCCAAUAGUAAGUGGGAACUUUAGUCAAAACUUAAAUACAUCUGAUCAACCCUGUGGUACUACCAAACUUAUCAAGAAGAAGUUAAUAAUAAUAAACCAGAAACAUCAGAUAACCAAAUAAGAAGUUUAGAUCUAACAACUUCAACAGAUAACUCGAUCUUCGUUCAUCACAGAGGAAUGAGACUGAAGAUGUGGUUCCAAUAGUAAGUGGGAACUUUAGUCAAAACUUAAAUACAUCUGAUCAACCCUUAUAGAAAGUUGAUGCGGUUUAAACUUCUAUUGUUCAAACCUUAGAACAAACUAUACCUAUAAACAUAGUUUGCGAGUUUCAUCAACAACACACACAAUUAAAAAGAUCUGAAAGAGAAUCAAAGGUUCCUUCUAAAUAUAGUAUAUAUGAUAUAAAUCUUUCAUACGCAAUGAUUGCUGAGGUAAUAGAGGAUAAUCAGUUAACGUACACCUAAGAAUUUUAAGGAUGCUCUCAAAAUUUCACACUUGCAGGAAGCUAUGAAUGAGGAAUUCAAGGCUCUAAUUGAAAAUAAAACAUGAACUUUAGUUCCUCCUAACCCAAAUAUUAAUCUGAUAGAAACUAAAUGGAUUUUUUAAGUAAAAAGGAAAGUAGAUGGUUCCAUUGAAAGGUAUAAAGCUAGAUUGACAGCGCAAUGUUUCAAACAACAUAAAGAUAUAUAGACUAUGAUCUUAUUUAUAGUCCAGUUGUGAAAUCUUCCACCAUAAGAAUAGUUGUCUCUAACAGUAAAUAGAGGAUAUAAGUUGAGACAACUAGACGUUAAAAAUACCUUUCUUCAAGGAAAACUAAUUGAAAUGGUUCAUAUAAGUCAACCACCAGGAUAUAUAGAUCAAGAAAAAUCAGAUUACAUCUGUAAAUUAGAUAAAGUCAUAUAUGGUCUUAAACAGACGCUUAAAUCUUGGUACUCAAAACUAAAGGAAUUCUUUAUGUUAAAUGAAUUCAUGAAUAGUAGUGCAGACACAUCACUUUUUGUGUAUAACAAAGAUGAGAUAUUAAUCUGGGUUGUAAUAGUAUAUGUAGAUGACUUAAUCAUCACAAGAAACAUAAAUAAAGAAUUAGAACCUUUUCAAGUGCACUGAGUUCAAGUGCAUAGAUUUAGGAGUCUUAAAGUUUUUUCUUGGUAUUGAGGUUCAACAUAAUUUUGAUGAUUCAAUUUAUAACAUGAGUCAAUGUAGAUAUGCUCUGGACAUGUUAAGUAAAAAUAAAUAUGUUACAGUGUAAGCCCAGUAGAACUCCCGUUAGUCCAUAUUCUAAACUAACCAAAAAUGAAGGAGUACUUUUGCAAGAUGUAACAUCUUACAGGGCACUAGUUGGUUCUCUACAAUACUUAGCUCAAACGAAACCAGACUUGGUGUAUGCAAUAAAUCAGGUUGCACAGUUUGUGCAAGAACCUAGGUCUUCUCAUCUUAUUGCAGCCAAGAGAAUUAUGAUACAUCAAGGGAAUUUUGAAUCAUGGUCUGAUAUUCACUAAAAAUUUGAAUUUUAAUAAAAUUCAUGGUUAUUAUGAUGCAGAUUAUACAGGUGAUCCAAACACAAGGAAAUCCACAAUUGGAUUGUGCCUAUACAUAGGUGGAAACCUAUGCACUUGGUCAUCAAAGAAACAAUCUACAAUUUCUAGAUCAAGCGUUGAAUCAGAGUAUAGAGCUCUGGCUUCACUAGCUACUGAGAUUAGAUGAUCUACAUUUAUAUGUAGAGAUUUAGGGUAUUGAUAGAUCAUGUUCUUUUGAUAUUAUGUGACAAUAUUUCAGCCAUGUUUAUGGUAAAUAAUCCGGUGAUCAAACAGAGGUCCAAACAUAUUGAAACUGACAUACAUUUUGUUAGAGAAUUGAUCACUAAGAGCCAACUUCAGUUAAAACAUAUAUGUUCCUCACUUCAGUUGAUUGAUUUGUUUACCAAAGUUGUGACUUCUGACAUUUAUGUAAGAUUAGGUAGAAAUCUCAAGAUUAAUUUUAGUUUAUAGGUGUUAGUCAUCUUUCUUCCCUCUAAAUUUCAAAAGUUCUUCAAUGCACAAUUUCUGCCUAUACUAGUGUAGAACCUGUACAGAGUCAGGUAAUGAACAGAUAGGAUGUGGGAGAUAAAGUUUACUAAAAUUAAAAAUGCAUGUCAUUAUUAAAAUUAACAAUUGGAAUGAGAUAUGGAUGUUUGUUCUUACCUUUUUCUUUCUCGUUUUGUCCUACAAUUCUGCUCUACGUUGAAUGAUGAUUCCUGAUGCUCAAUUAAUAUAAUUUUGCUGAAUGAUAUAUGCAUUACGAUCAAUUUCAGAUAUUAAGAAAAGUUUCGGAAUAUGUGGAUUGAUUCUGUUGAUAAAUAAUAUCGAUUGUUUUUGAUACUGCACUAUGCUUGCUUUUCAGAUUAUGAUUAGCUCAAGCAAAGUACAGAACUUGGCUGGAAAUGAUAAAUGAUAAGUUUUUAUCUCAAUCGAUCCAUUUAUUUAUGAAGAUCAUCGACUUGGAAGAAGAAGAGUUAUCCAUCCAAAUCUCAAUCAAAAGAUCAAAGAUGGAUGAAGAAGAAAUCCUGAAUAAUCAAGAUGGUCUCCUAAAACUUCCAUUCUUCAUCAGCACUAUGUCGUUCAGAUCACCUGCUCAACAAAAAUAUUAUGCUGUGAUCAACAAGCAACGUAUUUUUUCAGAAGAAAGAGUAAGGUUUGAUCUGAUCAACAUCAAAGAAAUGGAGCUUCUUCUAGCACACAAUGGUGUAGUGAGAUUCAUGGAGAACAUUCAUCAAGAGAUCUUCGACUCUGAAGUAAACCAAUAGUAUGCUAACUUAGAGCAAGUACCAAACUCCAUGGCUAUCUCCACGAGAGUCAACCAUAGAGAUCUAAAUAUUAGAAUCCCUAUGUCGUUGGACUGAACUCCUGAUCUCCUUAGUCGUUGGACUAAACUUCCAAAUAUUAGAAUCCUUGUUCAUAAUUUAAGAUCACUGGAUGAUCUUCCAUUCAAGGUUACUACUGAAGAUCUAUGGAUCACCCUGACUAAUAGAUACUCUUCUCUGGUGUCACCCAAGAUCACAACUCAAUCUCUCUCAGCCAUGGCAUAUGUGAUGAUCAAGUUACUCCACAAAAGCAUUUGCUCUAUGGCAGGAAAUUGUGUUAAACCAAGCAUAACUAUGAAGGUUAUUCUAUUUUGUGUGAUUAAGAAGAUUCAAAUCAACUGGACUGAGCUACUCCUUUACAACAUGGAGCAAAGCAAAAUAAAUGGAUCGGUGAGACACUACCCACGACUCAUCAACAAGCUACUUGGUCCAGAGUACUUUGAUGCUCCAAAUGUUCAGCCUCCAGCAAGUGCACCACUUUAUUCAGUCACUGGUGCAUCACUCAGGAAUAAGCAUUUGAAUCAUUUCUCAACCUCAAUGGAAGAUGACACACACAACUCUGAAGCUAUCCAUGAUCAUGUCAGGAAUCUCUGCCAGAGAAGGUCAGAUCCUCACCAUGAAUGAUAUCAGUCUACUAUCAGAUCAAAAUAAUGUAAGAAGAGAUGAGAUUGUAGCACAGACCAAGAGCAUGAUAGAUCAAAUUGGGAGGAAUCAAAGAAGCAUGGUUGAAGUCAUACAAGCCAUCCUACAUAAGUUAGGAAUGGAUUAGAACAAUCGUCCAUGUUGACGUUAAGCUUUUGUUAGAACAUUGAUCUAUGAUCAUGUUCUGAAAAACAAACCCACGAUUUGUUUAAUGGUUAUUUAGUUAAAACAAUGCUUUUACUAUGCUUUGAGAUUACUACUUUGAUAUUAUUGCUACUGUUUGUUUGUUGUUAACUAAAUUAUGGUAAGUGUGUUUUGGUAUGAUUUGAUCUUUACUUACUAUGCUAUGAGUUUCAACUAAAUCAUGCCAUAUGCCCUGAUCAGUGCUAUACUACUCUGUUGGUAUCCAUAUAUGUAAGUUGAAAUGUCAUAACCAUUUACUACUUAUCAUUCCCUGAUUUAACUAAAACAUGUCAUAUGCCUAAGAUUAUCUAUUAAAAUGCCUAGAUCAUUGCUUAUCUACUAGUCUUUGAUUUAUAACUGAAUCAUGCUUUGAUAUGCCUUGAUCAAUACUAAUACAUGCUACUACUCUUCUAUAACUGAAUCAUGUUUUAAUAUGCCUUGAUCAAUACUCAUACAUGCUACUACUCUUUUAUAACUGAAUUAUCUAUAAGAGUUGAAAUUGCUAAGAUCGUUGCUUAUACAGGCUAAGAUCAUUGCUUAUUAGAGACAACUUCACCGGCUGCUGCCAAAGAGUCAGUUAAAGAUGUUACUUUGAUUAUGAAAUCCCUAAUCGAUUCAUUUUCCCUUUUCUUUAAAAUUCUUAGUUCAUCCCGAUUGCUUGCUGAUGUACUGCCUUCCUUGGUGAUAAAUGCAAUUAUAGUUUCUACUCACGUCGUACUGUGGUUCAUUACCAAUGAAAACAUCGGUGGUCCAACUGAAGAUUGAAUCCAUCCCAAUACUGCCAAGUCCUUUUCUAACCAUAUCUCAUGAGCUGAAUUAGGUGAGCCGUCACCUCUCUUUUCAGGAGGAAUUUCUUGUUUGUCAUCUACAAUAUCAGAAACAUGAUUCAACCGGAAUAAAUUCUCCAUUUGACCUCUCCAAAACAGAUAUGUUGAUGCUCCUUCUAGCGGAGUUCUAAUCCAGUAGGAGACUUGACAUUUAUAUAGAGAAUCGAGGAGAGUAGCUUUAUCAUGGUUUGCCAUCGGAAGAUCAGAAAAAAUACUGCAGUGAAAAUAAAAACAAAUUUCACCACUGCAGCUUUCUAAAUGAAUCGCAAAUAAAAUGCGAUAAAGAUUUUUUUUUAUUUACUGAAUAUCACUAUUGAUAUAUCAGUAAUCUUACUAAAAAAUAACAAUUAAACAAACAAACAAUCUAAAAAAAAUAUCAACCUAAACAAACUAAACAAUGAGUUUAAUUGUAGCAACAAAACAAAACAAACUCAAUCUGAAAUUAAACUCAAUCGCAACUAAUCACCUAAUAAGCAAUCAAUAGAAAGAAGAAAAAAUAAAUAACUUGCUGACCUGUAAUAGCACUCACAACCUGUAAUCAAAAUUCAAUAGCAGAGAAGAUGAUUAAAAAAAAAAAAUUCUAACCUGUAAUCGCUAACCUGCAGAACACAACUACAAAGAACCUGUAGUUUUCAAAGAACAACUACCAAAAGAAGAAAAAAACUACAAAGCAACUACGCAAUUCAAUUCCAUACAAUAGACUCAGAAUCAGAUCUGUAGUUUAAAGAAGAAAAGAAAAUAUUCGAAAUCUGAACUCUGUGAUUUAAAGAAGAAGGAAAAAAAAUGUGAUAUCUGAAAAUUGUAAAUCGAAAUUGUAAAUCACAUAAUCGAAAUUUGUAAAGAAGAAGAAAUCACAAAUCACAGUUUGUAGAUUUGUAAAUCGAAUCUAUCGAUUUGUAAGGAAGAGACGAAAUCGAAGGAACAAUCUGUCGAUUGUCAAAAAAUUGAAAAAACAAUAAGUCGAUUGUCGAACAAUCGAAGAAAAGGGGAAAAAAAACAAAUCGAUCAAGAUCAAAAAGAAAUCAAACUAAAAUUUCAGAAUCAAUCAAAAAAGAAAGAAAUCAAACUAUUUCAGAAUCGAUCAAAAUUUCAGAAUCAAUCAGGCAUCCGAUCGGAAAUAAAUUUCAGAAGCAAAACAGUCGCACACAUAAAUAAAUCUCAUUCGAAUCGGAAAUAUUGCAAGAUCGGCAAGCAUCCGAUCGUGAAAGAUCGCAAAGUCCAAUCGUAAAGUUUAUCAAAUCCAAUCUAAGACUGCAAUCUCAAGAUCUGAAAAUCUAAAAUCAAGAAUCAAACCUGAGAAGAAUCGACGCUGAAGACAAGCGCAGAUCCGACACGAACGCGGGAGAAGCAGAGGUGCUCGCGGGAGGGAUCGUAGUGACUCAGAUGAAUCUGCAACUUCCAGCAAAUCUGCACAUCCAGAAAAAGAAAAAUAAUCGCAAAUCUGCAGAGAAACAAUCACCAAUCGGAAAUCAAAAAUCGCACGGAAUCGCAGAAGAAGACGAUCUCGCAGAGAAAGACGAUCAAUGAAGCUAGAAAACUGAUACCAUCUCAGAAAUGCUUAACAUUGAUUAUCAUUGAAUUGGAAAGAUUAGUUAUUACAACAUAACAAAUAUCCUUUUAUAGGAUUGAGAAUUUACUCAACUAACAGAUUACAUGUUUACCACACUACCCUUGAUGAUUUAACAUUCAAUAGCCAAUACAGUAGCU
RNAcentral lists this long non-coding RNA (7185 nucleotides) under Zostera marina. RNAcentral describes it as "long non-coding RNA (ZMAR_LNC005514)". The record is from RNAcentral. Lineage: Eukaryota; Viridiplantae; Streptophyta; Magnoliopsida; Alismatales; Zosteraceae.